UACGUAGGUGGCAAGCGUUGUCCGGAUUUACUGGGCGUAAAGAGCGCGCAGGCGGUCGUUCAAGUCGCGUGUGAAAGCCCCCGGCUCAACUGGGGAGGGUCACGCGAUACUGAUCGACUCGAAGGCAGGAGAGGGUAGUGGAAUUCCCGGUGUAGUGGUGAAAUGCGUAGAUAUCGGGAGGAACACCAGUGGCGAAGGCGACUACCUGGACUGUUAUUGACGCUGAGGCGCGAAAGCUUGGGGAGCAAACGGG
Molecule: ribosomal RNA, 253 nt
Filed under: uncultured bacterium
Lineage: Bacteria
Description: partial 16S ribosomal RNA
Rfam family: Bacterial small subunit ribosomal RNA
Source: RNAcentral